RNAcentral lists this ribosomal RNA (618 nucleotides) under Glutamicibacter sp. Its description in RNAcentral is "bacterial SSU rRNA". It matches the Rfam family "Bacterial small subunit ribosomal RNA", at positions 62 to 692 of the family's 1533-position model. Lineage: Bacteria; Bacillati; Actinomycetota; Actinomycetes; Micrococcales; Micrococcaceae. The record is from RNAcentral.
UCGAACGAUGAAGCCCAGCUUGCUGGGUGGAUUAGUGGCGAACGGGUGAGUAACACGUGAGUAACCUGCCCCCGACUUUGGGAUAAGCCCGGGAAACUGGGUCUAAUACCGGAUAUGACUUUCCACCGCAUGGUGGGUUGUUGAAAGAUUUAUCGGUGGGGGAUGGACUCGCGGCCUAUCAGCUUGUUGGUGAGGUAAUGGCUCACCAAGGCGACGACGGGUAGCCGGCCUGAGAGGGUGACCGGCCACACUGGGACUGAGACACGGCCCAAACUCCUACGGGAGGCAGCAGUGGGGAAUAUUGCACAAUGGGCGGAAGCCUGAUGCAGCGACGCCGCGUGAGGGAUGACGGCCUUCGGGUUGUAAACCUCUUUCAGUAGGGAAGAAGCGAAAGUGACGGUACCUGCAGAAGAAGCGCCGGCUAACUACGUGCCAGCAGCCGCGGUAAUACGUAGGGCGCAAGCGUUAUCCGGAUUUAUUGGGCGUAAAGAGCUCGUAGGCGGUUUGUCGCGUCUGCCGUGAAAGUCCGAGGCUCAACCUCGGAUCUGCGGUGGGUACGGGCAGACUAGAGUGAUGUAGGGGAGACUGGAAUUUCCUGGUGUAGCGGUGAAAUGCGCA